GUUCCUGGUUAAAGAAGUCUAGUUUCCAGAUUCCUUGGUAGCUCUUGGUAGCUGUCCGCUGAAUUGGCUUCAGCUUCUCAAUGUCCUUUGGAAAGUGCUGGGCUAGAACUGGAUACGGGAUUUCAAUGUAAUAACUCAUGGAUGGCCCUCUCUCAAACUCCCUUAAGAACCAGCCUUAAAGCAAUGGGCUUGGGUACUGAUCACAAACAAGACCCAACAGAUAUCAAGCAUCCACCGUCACCACCAAAGAAAAGGUGCUUCUCCUGAAUUGCAGCAAGAGCAGUCAAGCAACUCACUGUGGGCGAGUUCAGGCUAGAAGAAAUCAUCCUCAGGGCCUCGUUGACAACAGUGGGAGUCGGUGAAAUGCAAUCUGAGAAAGACAAGUUGUGGAGCAGAUUGUGGCUCCAGCAAGACGGGUUUAGGGAGUGCUGGGCCUUAGCCAAGGAGGCGCUUGCAACACACAACUCUUGGAGACAAAGCAAAAGUGGACUUGCCUGGAUAAUGGCUUGGCCACUGGCAGAGGCUUCCUGUGCUGCUUCUCCAUCCAUAUCAUGAAAGAGCUGAUCCCAGGCCUAGGGUGGAAAGUGUCCUCUAUUUGUCAUCACAGAUUGCAAAACACACAGUAAUUGAUAUCUUUUUAAAUGUAUUUCUGCAGCUGAUGAACAGUCCAUCAGUAGUAGAGUAACACACCAGAUGGUGAGACAUCCAGAAGCACUAGAGUCAAGUUCACUACUUUUUGGAUGACCAAAGACUGAGAACUGAAAAGUGUCUUUUACCAUUCAAUUAAACAUGUACAAGCAGAGCAUAAGUGGGGGCCAAUGGAACUCCUACUACUGAUCUGUCACAGAUCUGACAGACAAACCUGCAAACCUGUUCUUAUCUUUUGCUUCCCUAAGUGCUCCAUGAAUAUUUUAACACAGAACCAAGAUAAAAGAACAGGCCAUGCUGGUUUGGAUCCCACACAGUGCCCAAAGCACAAGAAUGAUGUGGUGGUGAUGGGGAGAAAUAAUGUAACCGAACAGUGAUGGCUGCCUCACUUGCAGAAGGUAGAGGGGUUUUCUUCAAGUUGAGCUCAAGCGCUGGUGGCUUCAUGGACACAUUCCAGGCUGCAAAGUGUCCUUCUAGGAUGCCUUUUUCAGAUUUCCAGGCUAAUCUCCAACCCUGGGACUCUCUGGAGAACAAGCAGUGGUCAGGCUAAAUUCUGCUUAGUUUCAGAGUCCAGAGUAGAAUAUACUGUAGAAGAACAUUAAUUUAUGAAGCAAUAACUCUGAACUUUAAACCAACCAACCAACCUUUGGUCAUUUAAUUAUGCUGUAUCUUUAAAGUGAGAUGCAUGCUCAACACUAGCUUCUGCCCCUGAAAUUGGGACAUAAACAGCUGUCUUCCUCCAAAGGGCAUAACUCCAGGCUAGGAAUUGUGCCACCAGUCAUCAUGGAAUCCUAGAGUUGAAAGGAGCCCCUAAGUCCAGCCCUAUGUUCAGUGCAGAAACGCAAAUGAAAGGCUGGCACCCAAUGAAGGGGACCAUCCCUUCUCUGAACAACUGGUCCCCCUCCCAAACUGCUCUUACUGUUAGGAAGAUUUUUCAAACAUCCAGUUGGAAUCUGCCUUCUGCUAAAUUAUCCUACAAACUAAGCUAGCUAACACCUCAGGAAACAGAAAUAAAAAUCACAAUGAUCUUAAUUGAUUAGAAAACUAGGCAGAGAAUAACAAUAAAAUUUAAGAGAGUUCAA
This is a long non-coding RNA of Python bivittatus (Burmese python), 1730 nucleotides long. RefSeq lists it as uncharacterized. NCBI's taxonomy places the organism in Eukaryota, Metazoa, Chordata, Lepidosauria, Squamata, Pythonidae. The record is from RefSeq and is a predicted model, not a curated record.